This is a non-coding RNA of Danio rerio (zebrafish), 960 nucleotides long. The record is from Ensembl. Lineage: Eukaryota; Metazoa; Chordata; Actinopteri; Cypriniformes; Danionidae.
GAAAUCGGAAAAUACGUUAGGGGUAAAACAACCUCAACUUUGAGACGAACUUACUACACAGAUGGGCGUUGGCAUGGGAACCUGCCCCUGGCUGCUACCUGAAUGAGGGCGCAGGGCCUCUGCGAACAGCGCAGUCAAAGGAGUGACCCAGCAGGCUGCACAUUUUUACCUACAGCCGUAUCCAUGACAACAGCCUCAUGCCCACAACCAUUGAACACUUGAUUGACAGAUGUCCAAAUGUCAACCACUCCCUCUCAGAAGAAGCUCUUCAGUUCUGUAGCUGAUUGUGACAAAACACUUCUGCCUGUUCAAAAUAAACAGAAGAAAGCAUGCACUGAAGAUUUGUUACUGUUCCUGUUUUACCGUACCCAUAUUGAACCGUGACCCUAAAAACAAGGAGAUUUGGGACAUCCAGCUCCAGUCCGCCACGCUUUGUCUUUAAUUUGAGAGAUUUGGCAAGUUACCACAAACAAGGCUGGUGAAGUUGAUGUAUUUGAUGGCAGACUUGGAGAGCAAAGGAGGACCUCUUUGGACUUAAAAGCCCCCACACGCUUUUAGAUUUGACCCCACAAUUUUUCUUUCCUUUUGGUCUCAUGUCCUCAUCUCUCUCUUUUUUUGUGCAUCUUAAAUAUACGAGGCAGCAGACAGCUCUGGACAGAGAUAUGAGGAGCCUUCAAAGGCGUGUUGUGACUGCUGUUUCAUCUCAGUACAAAGGGUUAUGCCGAAAUGUGUUCCGCCUUUCAGUAUAUUUUGCAUUUAUGCUAAUGAUGCAUAAAUCGACAGUGCGCUUUUCUCUGCACUACCAUAUGAAUCUGUAAACAAACCGAGGAAGUUAAGCCGUCAAAUUUAAUUUCACUUUUACCAUGAGCUGCGUCCGAGAAUCGUCUUGACGUGUUGAUCUUAAAUUCCAAAAAUAUUUUUUUAUUUUAUUUUGUCUGUUAAAAUAAAUUUUUUCAUCAA